CCAACCCGGAUAGCAUCCAUCCGGCAUCUUGAUCCCUUGACGCGCCUUGCCCUCAAUAGCUCAUCGUGACCCACUGACACAGAUGCAGACUCCGUGCAGGUGGAUCCAUCGAUGUGCUCCGAUCCACAUCGUUUACCAACUUGCUCAAUGGGUUAAUCCUCUCGCCUGAUGCGUAAUCUGCAGGUCAAACCACGGGCCGAACCGCCGAAGGGUCUUAAUCGCAAAAUCCCAGCGUAUCAAAAUGCCAGUGUCACAGUGUGUUUUGUUUUUUUCCUCGUGCUCGCUCAUCAGGUUGAGCGCGGCGCGGGCCCAUCUAGCUUACCUGGCAAGCCUUUUCCGUUUCAAAACGGAGUCGAAGAAGCCAGCUGCUGCAAGCUACGCUCCGCCACCAUUCCCAAUUUCCACCUCUCGAAGCCUGGAGCCGAGGGCCGCGGCAUGGAGGGCCUUUGGGGGAGGGCGCUGGCCUCCGCCGCGUCGGGGGGCCGGGUCGCGGCGGCGUGGGCGGCGGUGCGCGCGCGCGCGGUGGCGCCGGCGCUGGAGGCCGCGGUGUGGGUGUGCCUGGCCAUGUCGGUGAUGCUCGUGCUCGAGGUGUGCUACAUGAGCGUCGUCAGCUUCGUCGCCGUCAAGCUGCUGCGGCGCGUCCCCGAGCGGCGGUACAAGUGGGAGCCCAUGCCCUCCGUCGGGGGUACCGGAGGCGGCAAGGACGAGGAGGAAGCGGUGCCCGGCGGAGAGGCGUUCCCGCUGGUGCUCGUGCAGAUCCCCAUGUACAAUGAGAGAGAGGUCUACAAGCUCUCUAUUGGAGCAGCAUGUGCCCUCACAUGGCCAUCGAACCGUAUUAUAAUCCAAGUCUUGGAUGAUUCCACCGAUCCAUUCAUUAAGGAACUUGUGGAGCUUGAAUGCAAGGAUUGGGCCAGCAAGAAAAUCAACAUAAAAUAUGAGAUUCGAGAGAGUAGGAAAGGAUACAAAGCAGGAGCCCUGAUGAAGGGCAUGGAACAUAGCUAUGCCCAAGAGUGCGAUUUUGUUGCCAUUUUUGAUGCAGAUUUCCAACCUGAACCUGACUUCCUUUUAAGAACCGUACCGUUUCUCGUGCAUAACCCGAAGAUUGCUCUGGUACAGACACGUUGGGAGUUUGUGAACUAUGAUGUUUGCCUAAUGACAAGGAUACAAAAGAUGUCGCUAGAUUAUCAUUUCAAGGUUGAGCAGGAAUCAGGCUCAUCUAUGCAUGCCUUCUUUGGUUUCAACGGAACUGCUGGUGUGUGGCGGGUAUCAGCUAUUAGUGAAGCAGGAGGGUGGAAGGAUCGCACCACUGUGGAAGACAUGGACUUAGCUGUACGAGCGAGUCUAAAGGGAUGGCAAUUCCUGUAUGUCGGUGAUAUAAGGGUUAAGAGUGAACUCCCCAGUACCUUAAAGGCCUACCGUCAUCAACAGCAUAGGUGGACUUGUGGUGCUACGAACCUCUUCAGAAAAAUGGCACCGGACAUUGUUCGAAGCAAGGGCGUAUCUGUAUGGAUGAAAUUCCAUCUUCUGUACAGCUUCUUCUUUGUACGCAGGGUUAUCGCUCCCAUCCUGACAUUCCUGUUCUACUGCAUUGUGAUUCCAUUGUCCGUCAUGGUCCCUGAAGUCAGUAUCCCUGUCUGGGGAAUGUUCUACAUUCCCACUGCCAUCACCAUCAUGAACGCCAUCAGGAAUCCCUGGUCUAUCCAUAUGGUGCCGAUAUGGAUUCUGUUCGAGAACGUCAUGUCCAUGCACCGGAUGCGCGCCGCCCUGACCGGGCUGCUGGAGACCAUGUACGUUGACGAGUGGGUGGUCACCCAGAAGUUGGGCGAUCAUGUGAGGGAGAAGCUCGAGGUCCCUCUCCUCACACCGGUGAAGCCAACUGAGUGCGUCGAGAGGAUUUACGUUCCUGAGAUCCUGGUUGCGUUCUACCUCCUGGUAUGCGCAUCUUACGAUUUUGUACUCGGAGCCGGGCGCUACUACCUGUACAUCUUCCUCCAGGCCUUCGCUUUCCUCUUGCUUGGAUUUGGCUUCGUCGGCACAGCUGGACCCUGUUCUUGUCCAUAGACCAUAACAUAGCAGCAGCUGCAUUCUUCCCCAAUUGGCCUCACUCCGCUGAAGUUAAUUAGCCCGGUGAGCGGUGAACACUGCCUGAGCAGAGGAGACUGGACGUGUGGCUGGGUGGCUGGGGAUGGGCCUGGAGUGGACCAGAAGCCAAUCAAUCAACCAACCAGCCCACGGGAGCUUGUCUGAAUCCGUCGUCGUUGCGCUGCGACGAUGGACAGGAGCGGGGCCGCCGCCGUCGCUUUCAUCGGCCACCGGACGGCACAAAUAAUAUGCCCGCGAUCCGAGGGCCGUCACGUCGCUUUCCGUGGCCGUUCUUUUCUCCCUGUACCACGAGGGCGCAAGAAAAUUGGAGAAAAAAAGGGCCGACCAACAGGGCGUCGAUGUGACAGGUUUCGUCACUGACAGGUGGGUCCAUGCCGGACAGAUACUAUUCCUUUUGUGCACGUAUCAAGAUAUGAUGCGUCUGGGUGUCCUCUGAUUCGUUACACGUGUACGGUCUCAUGGGAAACUUUUCGGGCCAGGAUAAUCUUUUGUAUUAGGACAAGUCUCAUCAGCCCUGUGUAAGAUAUCUUGGACGUUUGGGUUUAUGCAAAAAA
This is an RNA transcript of Panicum hallii, 2657 nucleotides long. It is a transcript of the gene named probable glucomannan 4-beta-mannosyltransferase 4, with no coding region annotated. Lineage: Eukaryota; Viridiplantae; Streptophyta; Magnoliopsida; Poales; Poaceae. The transcript is spliced from 11 exons. The record is from RefSeq and is a predicted model, not a curated record.